AGAGCACGCCGGCUUCUGUCCAAUCAGCAAUGAGGAGAUAGCUUGCAUUAUAACGUCAGAUAAACCACUCUGCAGCACUGACGCGGAUUGCAAGAAGAACGAGAAAUGCUGUCUGUCUAAAUCUAAAAACCGCUUGCAGUGUGUACCGUCAUUGAAAGGUAAAUCCUAGGACCAGCACUGGCUAAUGGCACACUUACUGGGUACACUGGGCUAAUGGCACACUGGGUACACUGGGCUAAUGGCACACUUACUGGGUAGACUGGGUAAUGGCACACUUACUGGGUACACUGGGUAACGGCACACUAACUGGGUACACUGGGUAAUAACAGACUUACUGGAUACACUGGGCUAAUGGCACACUUACUGAGUACACUGGGUAAUGGCACACUUACUGGGUACACUGGGUAAUGGCAUACUGGGUACACUGGGUAAUGACAGACUUACUGGGCACACUGGGUAAUGGCAUACUGGGUACACUGGGUAAUGGCAUACUGGGUAUACUGGGUAAUGGCAUACUGGGUACACUGGGUAAUGGCUCACUUAAUGAGUAAACUGGGGAAUGGCACACUUACUGAGUACACUGGGGAAUGGCACACUUACUGGGUAAUGGCAUACUGGGUACACUGGGUAAUGCCAUAAUGGGUAUACUGGGUAAUGGCAUACUGGGUACACUGGGGAAUGGCACACUAACUGAGUACACUGGGUAAUGGCUCACUUAAUGAGUAAACUGGGGAAUGGCACACUAACUGAGUAAACUGGGGAAUGGCACACUAAUUGAGUACACUGGGGAAUGGCACACUAACUGAGUACACUGGGUGCAACUGCCUUGUUGUUUUCCCAGAAGGUCGUUGUCCAUUGUUCCGGCAGACCCCUUUAGUCUGCCGUAUACUAUUAUAUAUGUGUUUUAGGAGUUCUUUGUACUAUGAGAGAUAAUUGUGUUAGCGAGUCUGUGUGUAUAAAAGGAAAACAGAAGGGAAGACAUUAGUUUAUAAUACAAUGGCUGUUGGUGUCAGGCAGGUCAUUCAGUUAUGGACUUGACCUAAUUCUGUCCUAGACACUAAGACUCCAAGGAGGGACUUGCAAUGUUUUGUGUGAUGACACCCUGGUGUGAUUACUUUGCCCUUCACUAAGUCUCAGCUAGUGUUUGGGUGAGACAUGUAUAAACUAUACUCUCUGCAGGAGAGCGUGAUCACUUGGAGCUGUACCUAGGACCCUGUUACAGGGUGGGAAGCUACAGAGAGACCCCAGCCAAGCGAGCUUGACAAAGGUACCCAGUCGGGGUGCCAGGUGGUCCGUCACAGUUUCUGGCAGAGCGGAGUGACUGAGAAGGGGCGAACCUACAAAUUAGUUAAGAAUUGUAGCGGAGGGGGUAGAAUUGUUGAGAGCUCUGUUGGCAAGAUUUAAAGAGACACUAUAGUCACCAAAACAAGUGUAUCUUAAUGAAGCAGUUUUGGUGUAUAUAUCAUGCACCUGCAGUCUCAUUGCACUGCCAUUUAGGAGUUACAUAGUUACAUAGUUACAUAGCUGAAAAGAGACUUGCGUCCAUCAAGUUCAGCCUUCCUCACAUUUGUUUAUUGCUGUUGAUCCAAAAGAAGGCAAAAAAACCCAGUUUGAAGCACAAUUUUGCAACAAGCUAGGAAAAAAAUUCCUUCUUGACCCCAGAAUGGCAGUCAGAUUUAUCCUUGGAUCAAGCAGUUAUUACCCUACAUUGAAAGAUUAUAUCCUUGAAUAUUCUGUUCUUGCAAGUAUGCAUCUAGUAGCCGUUUGAACAUCUGUAUGGACUCUGAUAAAACCACUUCCUCAGGCAGAGAAUUCCACAUCCUGAUUGUUCUUACAGUAAAAAAACCUUUCCUUUGCCUUAGACGAAAUCUUCUUUCUUCCAGUCUAAACGCAUGGCCUCGUGUCCUAUGUAAAGUCCGGUUUGUGAAUAGAUUUCCACACAAUGGUUUGUAUUGGCCCCGAAUAUAUUUGUAUAAUGUUAUCAUAUCCCCUCUCAGGCGACGUUUUUCUAAACUAAAUAGGUUUAAAUUUGUUAACCUUUCUUCAUAGCCGAUAUGUUCCAUUCCUUUUAUUAAUUUUGUAGCCCGCCUCUGCACUUUUUCUAGUGCCAUAAUAUACUUCUUUAGAACAGGUGCCCAAAAUUGCACAGCAUAUUCAAUAUGGGGUCUUACCAGUGAUUUAUAAAGAGGCAAAAUUAUAUUCUUGUCCCGAGAAUGAAUGCCCUUUUUCAUGCAUGACAAUACCUUACUGGCCUUGGCCACUGCUGAUUGACAUUGCACAUUGUUGCAUAGUUUGUUGUCUAUAACAAUUCCCAAGUCCUUUUCGUGUGUUGUUAUCCCUAAUUUGCUUCCAUUAAGGGUAUACGUUGCUUGUGUAUUCUUUACGCCGAAGUGCAUAACUUUGCAUUUUUCAACAUUAAAUUUCAUCUGCCAUUUGAGUGCCCAGUCUCCCAGUCUAUCUAAAUCCCUCUGCAGCAAAGUAAUAUCUUGCUCACAUUGUAUUGUUUUACAAAGUUUUGUGUCAUCUGCAAACACUGAAACAUGACUUUCAAUGCGGUCUUCAAGAUCAUUUAUAAACAUGUUAAAUAGAAGGGGUCCCAGAACAGACCCCUGAGGGACACCACUUGCCACCUCUGUCCAGCUUGAAAAUUUACCAUUAAUGACAACUCUUUGUACUCUGUUUGUAAGCCAAUGUUCUACCCAAGAACAAGCAUUUUCAUCUAGACCGAUUUCCUUGAGUUUGAACACUAAUCUAUUGUGUGGAACUGUAUCAAAUGCCUUGGCAAAAUCCAAAUAGAUCACAUCCACUGCAACACCCUGAUCUAUACUUCUACUUACUUCUUCGUAGAACGCAAUCAAGUUAGUUUGACAUGACCUGUGCUUCAUAAAACCGUGCUGAUUUUUGCUGAUAACCAUGUUCUUCUCAAGGAAUUCUUGAAUAUUAUCCCUUAAUAAACUUUCAAAUAUUUUACCAGCCACAGAAGUUAAGCUCACAGGACUAUAAUUUCCAGGCAAGGAUUUUGAACCCUUUUUGAAUAUAGGAACCACAUCUGCCUUCCUCCAAUCCUCCGAACACUUCCUGAAAGAAAAGAAUCUUGAAAGAUUAAAAACAGAGGUUCACUUAUUUCUGCACUUAGUUCCUUAAGUACAUGUGGAUGGAUACCGUCAGGCCCUGGAGCUUUGUUUAUAUUAACUUUCUUUAGUUGCUGCAGCACCUUGUCUUGAGUUAACCAAUUACAAUUCUGCAAGUUUUUAGUAGCAAUCAUUUGCACAUCUAUUGCCAUGGGUUCUUCCUUAAUAUAUACAGAGGAGAAAUAGUUAUUUAAAAUUCCUGCCUUUUCCUGGUCUGCAUUAAUUAACACCCCUGUUUCAGUUUUUAGUGUACCUACACUUUCAUUUUUUUGUUUAGAGUUUAUGUACUUAAAAAAUGCUUUGGGUUGGUUUUGCUCUCUUCAGCUAUCAUUAUUUCAUUUUGAAGUUUAGCAAGUCUAAUUGCCUUUUUGCACGCAUUAUUUGCAUCCUUAUAUCUUUUUUAUAAGAUGCAUCUGAUUUGUCCGAAAUAAAUGCUUUAAAUGCCCUUCUUAGUUGUAAUCUCUUGUUUUACUUCUCUACUAAGCCCCAUUGGGUUUUAAUUUGUUUCUUUUAUAUUUAUUUCCCAACGGUACAUACUGAGAAAUGUACCUUUGUAAUAUUUGUUGGAAGAUGAUCCAUUUAUCCUCAGUGUUCUUUUCACUAAAGAGUUUAUGCCAGUCAAUAUAUUGUAAAGCUUCCCUUAACUUAUUGAAAUUGGCCUUUUAAAAAUUAUAUGUUUUAGUAUACCCCAUGUGCUUUUGUUUUUUUUGAGUUUAUUUCAAAGGACACUAUAUUGUGAUCACUAUUUCCCAAGUGCUCACCUACUUGAAUGUUGGUCAAAAGAUCAACGUUGUUUGUUAAAACCAGGUCCAGACAAGCAUCCAUUCUAGUUGGUGCUUGUACAAGUUGUGACAUACCAGGAAUAGCCUCCAGUGGGAGCAGUAACAGUGAUAUAGAAAGGGUAGUAGAUACCUGGAAUAGCCUUCCAGUGGGAGCAGUAUCAGUUAUAUAGAAAGGGUAGUAGAUACCUGGAAUAACCUUCCAGUGGGAGCAGUAACAGUGAUAUAGAAAGGGUAGUAGAUACCUGGAAUAGCCUUCCAGUGGGAGCAGUAACAGCGAUAAAGAAAGGGUAGUAGAUACCUGGCAUAGCGUUCCAGUGGGAGCAGUAACAGUGAUAUAGAAAGUGUAGUAGAUACCUGGAAUAGCCUCCCAGCGGGAGCAGUAACAGUGUUAUAGAAAGGGUAGUAGAUCCUUGGAAUAACCUUCCAGUGGGAGCAGUAACAGUGAUAUAGAAAUGGUAGUAGAUACCUGGAAUAGCCUUCCAGUGGGAUGCAGUAACAGUGAUGUAGAAAGGGUAGUAGAUACCUGGAAUAGCCCUCCAGUGGGAGCAGUAACAGUGAUAUAGAAAGGGUAGUAUAUAUCUGGAAUUUCCUUCCAGUGGGAGCGGUAAUGACACUGAUGAAUGAUUGGGAUUUAUCAAAGAACCAACCACAAACAUCCUAUUUUAUGUUGGGAUAAUUAACUCUUUGCUUACCAGUGUCAGCUGUCUAUAUUUCAGUAAUGAAAAGUUUACAAUGAAACAAUUUCACUAAAUUAUUGAUGGGAGAACUGGGAGUGAUAAUAGAGAGCUGGGAGUAAUGAGAGUGUGAGCUGAGAGUGAUAAGAGUUGGGAUUUAUGAGUGAAAGCUGUUUAUCUGUUAACCCAUUAUGAUUCGUAUUGAGCUCUGUUGUUUAACUCUUACAGAAAAGCCUGGCAUGUGUCCUGUACUGCAUAGCGUGAUAAAGUGCCCGGUACCCAACCACCCCGGUAAUUGUGAAUCGGACGCAAACUGCCCUGGAAAUGAGAAAUGCUGUAACAUUGGAUGUAACUUCAGAUGCACAGGUGUGUAAGGUGAGGAAGGUCCUAAUCAGAGGGUAAACAUCUGUCACAGCCCUGGAGAGAGGACAGAUACAGGGAGUGCAGAAUUAUUAGGCAAGUUGUAUUUUUGAGGAUUAAUUUUAUUAUUGAACAACAACCAUGUUCUCAAUGAACCCAAAAAACUCAUUAAUAUCAAAGCUGAAUAUUUUUGGAAGUAGUUUUUAGUUUGUUUUUAGUUAUAGCUAUGUUAGGGGGAUAUCUGUGUGUGCAGGUGACUAUUACUGUGCAUAAUUAUUAGGCAACUUAACAAAAAACAAAUAUAUACCCAUUUCAAUUAUUUAUUAUUACCAGUGAAACCAAUAUAACAUCUCAACAUUCACAAAUAUACAUUUCUGACAUUCAAAAACAAAACAAAAACAAAUCAGUGACCAAUAUAGCCACCUUUCUUUGCAAGGACACUCAAAAGCCUGCCAUCCAUGGAUUCUGUCAGUGUUUUGAUCUGUUCACCAUCAACAUUGCGUGCAGCAGCAACCACAGCCUCCCAGACACUGUUCAGAGAGGUGUACUGUUUUCCCUCCUUGUAAAUCUCACAUUUGAUGAUGGACCACAGGUUCUCAAUGGGGUUCAGAUCAGGUGAACAAGGAGGCCAUGUCAUUAGAUUUUCUUCUUUUAUACCCUUUCUUGCCAGCCACGCUGUGGAGUACUUGGACGCGUGUGAUGGAGCAUUGUCCUGCAUGAAAAUCAUGUUUUUCUUGAAGGAUGCAGACUUCUUCCUGUACCACUGCUUGAAGAAGGUGUCUUCCAGGAACUGGCAGUAGGACUGGGAGUUGAGCUUGACUCCAUCCUCAACCCGAAAAGGCCCCACAAGCUCAUCUUUGAGGAUACCAGCCCAAACCAGUACUCCACCUCCACCUUGCUGGCGUCUGAGUCGGACUGGAGCUCUCUGCCCUUUACCAAUCCAGCCACGGGCCCAUCCAUCUGGCCCAUCAAGACUCACUCUCAUUUCAUCAGUCCAUAAAACCUUAGAAAAAUCAGUCUUGAGAUAUUUCUUGGCCCAGUCUUGAUGUUUCAGCUUGUGUGUCUUGUUCAGUGGUGGUCGUCUUUCAGCCUUUCUUACCUUGGCCAUGUCUCUGAGUAUUGCACACCUUGUGCUUUUGGGCACUCUAGUGAUGUUGCAGCUCUGAAAUAUGGCCAAACUGGUGGCAAGUGGCAUCGUGGCAGCUGCACGCUUGACUUUUCUCAGUUCAUGGGCAGUUAUUUUGCGCCUUGGUUUUUCCACACGCUUCUUGCGACCCUGUUGACUAUUUUGAAUGAAACGCUUGAUUGUUCGAUGAUCACGCUUCAGAAGCUUUGCAAUUUUAAGAGUGCUGCAUCCCUCUGCAAGAUAUCUCACUAUUUUUGACUUUUCUGAGCCUGUCAAGUCCUUCUUUUGACCCAUUUUGCCAAAGGAAAGGAAGUUGCCUAAUAAUUAUGCACACCUGAUAUAGGGUGUUGAUGUCAUUAGACCACACCCCUUCUCAUUACAGAGAUGCACAUCACCUAAUAUGCUUAAUUGGUAGUAGGCUUUCGAGCCUAUACAGCUUGGAGUAAGACAACAUGCAUAAAGAGGAUGAUGUGGUCAAAAUACUUAUUUGCCUAAUAAUUCUGCACUCCCUGUAGGGGGGUAUUGUACAAUAAUCAGUAGAAGAUAUGGGGUACUAUGUCCAUCAGUAAAAGAUACGAGUUGCCCUUUCAAAAGUAGACAAUUUGGGGUGCUGUGCAAUCAGUAGAAGAUUUGGGGUGCUAUAUCCAUUAGUAAAGGAUUUGGGGUGCUAUGUCUAUCAAUCAAAGAUUUGGGGUGCUAUGUCUAUCAGUAGAAGAUUUGGGGUGCUGUGCAAUCAGUAGGAGGGGUUCAGGCAUUCAUUGUCAGUGGUCCAUCACACUGAGCCAUUCCCAGAGAUUCAGAGAGUGUGGGAGGCAAUGUUAGAAUAAAUGAGGUCCGCAGAAGGUGUGAGAUUCUAUAAAUGUCAGUAACACAAGCUGUAAUGAUGAAGGCUGCGUGAUUUGGAAGAUCCGUUUGGUUUUAUCAUUUGGUAUUAUUUUAAGGAAUAAAUUAAUUAAGGAAUACCUUGUUUUUCUUUCAACAGAAAACAAAUCUCUAUCCGAUAACGAGUGACGGAUGAUGCAUAGCACAUAGCACACUGAUGGCAUGCCUCGUGAUCCAUCCUACUAUCUCUCCGCUUGGGAUGGACUGUGUCCCACCACUUCCCAUCCAAUCAUUGCUAAUUACUGUCGCUUGAUG
Molecule: long non-coding RNA, 7210 nt
Filed under: Pelobates cultripes (western spadefoot toad)
Lineage: Eukaryota; Metazoa; Chordata; Amphibia; Anura; Pelobatidae
Source: RNAcentral